UACGAAGGGUGCAAGCGUUACUCGGAAUUACUGGGCGUAAAGCGUGCGUAGGUGGUUUGUUAAGUCUGAUGUGAAAGCCCUGGGCUCAACCUGGGAAUUGCAUUGGAUACUGGCAGGCUAGAGUGCGGUAGAGGAUGGCGGAAUUCCCGGUGUAGCAGUGAAAUGCGCAGAUAUCAGGAAGAACACCCGUGGCUAAGGCGGUUCUCUAGUACGGUACUGACGCUGAGACGCGAAAGCGUGGGGAGCGAACAGG
RNAcentral lists this ribosomal RNA (253 nucleotides) under uncultured bacterium. Its description in RNAcentral is "partial 16S ribosomal RNA". It matches the Rfam family "Bacterial small subunit ribosomal RNA", at positions 524 to 776 of the family's 1533-position model. The record is from RNAcentral.